CUAAGAAAUGGCUGGCGCGUGCGCAAUCGUGCAUUGUUAUUCCUGUGGAGGGAGAGUUUGAACGCCGGUACGCGCGUUAAAGACGCGACUUUUACUCGUUGCGAAUUCGCGUUAUUUUCGAGGCUCGAUAAUAGCGGUGCUCUAUGAUGGUGCAUAAAUAAUGCGAGCACUAUUGAACUGCAAAAAUAUCGCACUUAUGUACUUCACGAGAGAAUUUAUUGUGCGUACUGAAUCUCGCGCUGUUACGCUAGUACAUGUUUUGUUUCUUUCUUUAAACUUUACUAUUCCACUCUCACCCGAGUGGGUGUUUUUCACAUUCUCGCUGCGCGUGUUGUGAGAUCAACUUGUUUCGUGUUUCGACUCCGAGAACGUCCAAGCGUUAUACUCGCAUAUUUAAUGUCUCCUUGUUUUUUAAACGAUGAACAUUUAUUUAGAAGAAAAGCAGAAAGAUUUAAAAGGGAUUACUGGGUCAAGAUUCAUGAGAAAAUUGUUUCAGGUUAUAUUGAUAAAACAAUGAAAAACGCAAUGUUCUAAAAUGUUGGUUUAUUCAUUGAAACAUGGUUAAGGAUACAAAAAGUACAUCAUACGAACACUACUACGAGAGGAAGCCAAAAUCAUCGAAGCUAUGACCACGUCAAAGCAAGCCGAUUUCCUGUAAAUAAUUAACAAUUGCUGAUUUAAUAAGAAUGUGCGCAGCGAUGGAAGCAGAACAGUUCGAAGUGUGAACUUGCUGUAUAAAGUCCGUCCAAUGAAAUUCACCACAUGCAUUAUUAAUUUAUUUACAUCAAAGGGAAUAUCAAUGUGUCUUACAAAACACAUGACAGUAUUUUAUUAAUCGCUUCUCCAAUAUCGACAAAUAUUGCAUUGUAAUUAUCGAUUCCUCCGUAAUUUCCUGAGACAAUAAGAUAAUAAGAAAUCAUGAUAACUUAA
Long non-coding RNA from Bombus pyrosoma, 930 nucleotides. RefSeq lists it as uncharacterized. The transcript has 3 exons. NCBI's taxonomy places the organism in Eukaryota, Metazoa, Arthropoda, Insecta, Hymenoptera, Apidae. The record is from RefSeq and is a predicted model, not a curated record.